CAGUAGCCGCGGGAAUACGGAGGAUCCGAGCGUUAUCCGGAUUUAUUGGGUUUAAAGGGUGCGUAGGCGGCUUUCUAAGUCAGGGGUGAAAGACGGUAGCUUAACUAUCGCAGUGCCCUUGAUACUGAAGAGCUUGAAUGUACUAGAGGUAGGCGGAAUGUGACAAGUAGCGGUGAAAUGCAUAGAUAUGUCACAGAACGCCAAUUGCGAAGGCAGCUUACUAUGGUAUGAUUGACGCUGAGGCACGGAAGCGUGGGGAUCAAACAGGAUUAGAUACCCCGGUAGUCCCUGUCUCUUAUAC
RNAcentral lists this ribosomal RNA (301 nucleotides) under uncultured bacterium. RNAcentral's name for it is "partial 16S ribosomal RNA". It matches the Rfam family "Bacterial small subunit ribosomal RNA", at positions 509 to 807 of the family's 1533-position model. The record is from RNAcentral.